RNAcentral lists this long non-coding RNA (802 nucleotides) under Sorghum bicolor (sorghum). Its description in RNAcentral is "long non-coding RNA (SBIC_LNC003804)". The record is from RNAcentral. Lineage: Eukaryota; Viridiplantae; Streptophyta; Magnoliopsida; Poales; Poaceae.
UUUCUUUUGACCCUGGCACCACGUGCCUACGUCACCUACUACCAGGCUCGGGGACUAAGUGGGCACACUUCACCUUGCGGUGAAUAUGCUUGCUAUUUUGAAGACUACAUUUUUCGCAAAAGUAAAGUGGGCACACUUCACCAAGAAAGAAAUCUUUUUUAAUUUAGAGCACCAUGCACUCUUCAAACAACCUGCUUCUUCGAUGACAAUGUUGAUCAACUGUCUUUUGAGUUGGUCAAAAUACUGUUGCAACUGUCUGGGCGACUUUCCCGCUUAUUGAAGACGUCAAGUCUCACUGAUCGAAGAAGCUCAAGGCGGCGUGUUACAUCACAAUACAUGGUGCUCGGGGACUAGCUGUGGGGGGAUAGACCCCUAUACCCUUACGGCUAGACUUGGGCCAGGAGGCUUGGCCCAUUACGAGACGAGUUUAAGGCUUGAUCCGACAGCCUGGAGUCUCGCACAAGGAAGCAAGAUGUGGAGAUCAAACAGAAUUCUAGUCGGUUAGAAUAGGAAUUGAUAUCGAACUAUCUAUGGCAAUUGUAACCGACUAGGAUUAGUUUCCAGAUCUGUAACCCUGCCCUCCGGACUAUAUAAGGAGGGGCAAGGGACCCCCCUAGGACAUCAUAUUCUCUCAGCACAAAUCAAUACAACCAGACGCAGGACGUAGGUAUUACGCCAACUCGGCGGCCGAACCUGGAUAAAAAGCUUGUCCGUGUCUUGCGUCACCAUCGAGUUCGUAGUUUGCGCACCGUCUACCGAUAAACUACUACCGUGGGUAUACCCCAAGGUAGACUGCCGACUA